Molecule: ribosomal RNA, 253 nt
Filed under: uncultured bacterium
Lineage: Bacteria
Description: partial 16S ribosomal RNA
Rfam family: Bacterial small subunit ribosomal RNA
Source: RNAcentral
UACAGAGGUCUCAAGCGUUGUUCGGAUUCAUUGGGCGUAAAGGGUGCGUAGGUGGCGCUGUAAGUCAGGUGUGAAAUUUCGGAGCUCAACUCCGAAACUGCAUUUGAUACUACGGUGCUUGAGGACUGGAGAGGAGACUGGAAUUCACGGUGUAGCAGUGAAAUGCGUAGAUAUCGUGAGGAAGACCAGUGGCGAAGGCGGGUCUCUGGACAGUUCCUGACACUGAGGCACGAAGGCCAGGGGAGCAAACGGG